GAUGAACGCUGGCGGCGUGCUUAACACAUGCAAGUCGAACGAAGCACUCUAUUUGAUUUUCUUCGGAGAUGAAGAUUUUGUGACUGAGUGGCGGACGGGUGAGUAACGCGUGGGUAACCUGCCUCAUACAGGGGGAUAACAGUUGGAAACGACUGCUAAUACCGCAUAAGCGCACGGUACCGCAUGGUAUCGUGUGAAAAACUCCGGUGGUAUGAGAUGGACCCGCGUCUGAUUAGCUAGUUGGUGGGGUAACAGCCUACCAAGGCGACGAUCAGUAGCCGACCUGAGAGGGUGACCGGCCACAUUGGGACUGAGACACGGCCCAAACUCCUACGGGAGGCAGCAGUGGGGAAUAUUGCACAAUGGGGGAAACCCUGAUGCAGCGACGCCGCGUGAGCGAAGAAGUAUUUCGGUAUGUAAAGCUCUAUCAGCAGGGAAGAAAAAAUGACAGUACCUGACUAAGAAGCACC
This 470-nucleotide ribosomal RNA is filed under the name uncultured bacterium. RNAcentral's name for it is "bacterial SSU rRNA". It matches the Rfam family "Bacterial small subunit ribosomal RNA", at positions 28 to 494 of the family's 1533-position model. The record is from RNAcentral.